RNAcentral lists this ribosomal RNA (492 nucleotides) under uncultured bacterium. RNAcentral describes it as "partial 16S ribosomal RNA". It matches the Rfam family "Bacterial small subunit ribosomal RNA", at positions 29 to 507 of the family's 1533-position model. The record is from RNAcentral.
AGUGAACGCUGGCGGUAGGCCUAACACAUGCAAGUCGAACGGCAGCACAGUAAGAGCUUGCUCUUACGGGUGGCGAGUGGCGGACGGGUGAGGAAUACAUCGGAAUCUACUUUUUCGUGGGGGAUAACGUAGGGAAACUUACGCUAAUACCGCAUACGACCUACGGGUGAAAGCAGGGGAUCUUCGCACCUUGCGCGAUUGAAUGAGCCGAUGUCGGAUUAGCUAGUUGGCGGGGUAAAGGCCCACCAAGGCGACGAUCCGUAGCUGGUCUGAGAGGAUGAUCAGCCACACUGGAACUGAGACACGGUCCAGACUCCUACGGGAGGCAGCAGUGGGGAAUAUUGGACAAUGGGCGCAAGCCUGAUCCAGCCAUACCGCGUGGGUGAAGAAGGCCUUCGGGUUGUAAAGCCCUUUUGUUGGGAAAGAAAAGCAGCAGGUUAAUACCCCGCUGUUCUGACGGUACCCAAGGAAUAAGCACCGGCUAACUUCGUG